RNAcentral lists this ribosomal RNA (604 nucleotides) under uncultured Phialocephala. RNAcentral's name for it is "eukaryotic LSU rRNA". The stretch from base 243 to 396 matches the Rfam family "5.8S ribosomal RNA". The record is from RNAcentral. Lineage: Eukaryota; Fungi; Ascomycota; Leotiomycetes; Helotiales.
CUUGGUCAUUUAGAGGAAGUAAAAGUCGUAACAAGGUUUCCGUAGGUGAACCUGCGGAAGGAUCAUUACAAGUGAGGCUACCGAACGUUGGAAACAGCGGUUAGGAGCUUACACCCACCCGUGUUUACAUACUAUUGUUGCUUUGGCGGGCCGUGGCCUCCACUGCGGGCUCUGCUCGUGUGUGCCCGCCAGAGAACCAAACUCUGAAUGUUAGUGAUGUCUGAGUACUAUCUAAUAGUUAAAACUUUCAACAACGGAUCUCUUGGUUCUGGCAUCGAUGAAGAACGCAGCGAAAUGCGAUAAGUAAUGUGAAUUGCAGAAUUCAGUGAACCAUCGAAUCUUUGAACGCACAUUGCGCCCUGUGGUAUUCCGCAGGGCAUGCCUGUUCGAGCGUCAUUUAACCACUCACGCCUAGCGUGGUAUUGGGGCACGCGGUCUCCGCGGCCCUCAAAAUUAGUGGCGGCGCCGGUGGGCUCUAAGCGUAGUACAUACUCCCGCUAUAGAGUUCCCCCCGGUGGCUCGCCAGAACCCCCAAUUUUUUACAGGUUGACCUCGGAUCAGGUAGGGAUACCCGCUGAACUUAAGCAUAUCAAUAAGCGGAGGA